GUGGGUGUAGCUCGGUAGUAGAGCACUUGCUUAGUAUGUGAGAGGCCCUAGGUUCAAACCCAAACUGCCACU
Molecule: transfer RNA, 72 nt
Filed under: Fukomys damarensis (Damara mole-rat)
Lineage: Eukaryota; Metazoa; Chordata; Mammalia; Rodentia; Bathyergidae
Rfam family: tRNA
About the family: Transfer RNA (tRNA) molecules are approximately 80 nucleotides in length. Their secondary structure includes four short double-helical elements and three loops (D, anti-codon, and T loops).
Source: Rfam by way of RNAcentral